ACCGAAACAACGUGGUACUGGUUGAAGAAAAAUUUCACACAUCAAAAUCAGCUGUGAAUAUCAGUAUGGCCGCUCAUCUAGCAAAAAAAUAAAAUUUGAUUUUUAUUUUAUUUUAUUUUCAAAACUUGCGCAAAAAAUAGGAAAGUACAGCAAAAGUGUUUGCAUUUUAGUUGUGUUUUAUUUAACUAGUGUCGGUGUUGAUGUUGACUAAAAGUGUUGCGUCAUGACAGAAUAGCCUCUCACUGACAAACAAAUACAAUAAAAAAUUGUAUCCACGGAUUACGGCAAACUUGUAGCAUUUCCAUUACAUUCGUGUUUCGUUUUGGCUUGUUUAACGCGGGCUGAUGUGAAUCGUGCACGUAGAAUUUGAAAACGCAAGAUCAUGACUAGCAUUCGUCUAAGUUUCAUUUCUGUGGGCAGAAUCGCGGUGAGGAGAAAUUCGCAGUUGACAUCGGGUCCUGCGCAAACAUGCCGCGGCCUGCGGCGGUCCGGCGCGCGCGCACUCAGCACGAGCACGGCGCUAUGCAAGAGCCCCACGGAGCAGCCGCCCGGCCCUCCGCACUCGGGGAAAGAUGCGUCUAGCACAGGCUCUUCAGGAGGCAAAAAGUCGGGCAGUGGUGUGCUAACGUGCCCUAAAUGCGGCGACCCGUGCACACACGUCGAGACGUUCGUCAGCUCGACGCGGUUCGUCAAGUGCGACAAGUGCCACCACUUCUUCGUGGUGCUCAGCGAGGUGGACACCAAGAAGAGCAUCAAGGACAACGCUGAGAACAAGUCCGGGUUCUAUAGAAAACCGCCGCCCCCGCCCAAGAAGAUAUUCGAAUACCUCAACAAGCACGUGGUGGGGCAGGAGUUCGCAAAGAAGGUGCUCUCUGUAGCCGUGUACAAUCACUACAAGAGGAUCUACAACAAUGUCACUAGCAACUCGGCGACCGACACGCACCAUCCACUGCAUCAGGCGCAUAAAGACCUCCUCCACCUCAGCCAGACCACAGGAAGCGGUACCCCCAGCGGUGAGAUACUCGAGCGGCACAGCAACGAGCUGCGGCUGGAAAAGAGCAACGUGCUGUUAUUGGGACCUACGGGGAGUGGUAAAACGCUACUAGCACAAACGAUAGCAGCAUGCCUGGACGUGCCGUUCGCGAUCUGCGACUGCACCACACUGACGCAGGCGGGCUACGUGGGUGAGGACAUUGAGAGCGUCAUCGCUAAGCUGCUGCAAGAUGCUAACUUCAAUGUGGAACGCGCGCAAACGGGGAUAGUGUUUUUGGAUGAAGUGGACAAAAUAGGUGCAGUGCCCGGUAUACAUCAGCUCAGAGAUGUUGGAGGCGAGGGCGUGCAGCAGGGCAUGCUGAAGAUGCUGGAGGGCUGCGUGGUGUCGGUGCCCGAGCGCAACUCGCGCAAGCUGCGCGGCGACGCCGUGCAAGUGGACACCACGGACAUCCUGUUCGUGGCCAGCGGCGCGUACAACGGGCUCGACCGCCUCGUGCGGCGCCGCUCCAACGAGCGCUGUCUGGGCUUCGGCGCGUGGGACCCGCGGGCGGGCCGGCGGGCCGCCGCGGCGGUCGCGGCCGCCGACAGGUCGCCGCUCGACCGGCCCGCCGGCGAGGGCAAGGAGGCCGACCGCUGGCUGCGCCGCGUGCAGGCGAGGGACCUCAUCGACUUCGGCAUGAUCCCGGAAUUCGUCGGCAGAUUUCCAGUACUAGUGCCCUUCCACAGCCUCGACCAAGAUCUCCUCGUUAGGAUACUCACUGAGCCUAAAAACGCUAUUGUAGCGCAGUACAAGCUGCUGUUCGCGAUGGACAAGUGCGAGCUGACGUUCAGCGAGGAGGCGCUGCGGGCGGUGGCCGCGCUCGCCAUGGAGCGCAACACCGGCGCACGGGGGCUCAGGGCCAUCAUGGAGAACCUGCUACUGGAGGUGAUGUUCGAGAUCCCCGGGUCGGACAUAGCGUCGGUGCACAUCCACGAGGGCUGCGUGCGGCGCAGCGAGCCGCCGCGCACCGCGCGCCGCGACCAGCCCGCCCUGCGGCACUGGCCCCCGGUGCGCGCCGCCAACUGAGACAUGCGACACGGCAUUUUUUACUCGCACACAAGACGGCUUCAAUAUGUGACGGAAUUCCAAGCGGACCCCGAACCAUCUGUAAAUCAAUAUGCGCUGUGAGCGGACACGCGCGUGGCGGCUGACGGACAGACAAACGAACGAACAAGCUCCGGCAAGACUUGCCAUAGACAAGUGUCAGCCCGCGACCAUAGACACACCGUGUUCCAUAGCUAUGUUAUCUAUGCCCGCUUUUUUAACGAAAUUUAAAUGUUUUCGAAAUUCGCAGUUUGGAUUUUAGUUUGCACACAUUGUUUUCACUAAUAAAGCAUAAAACGUCAUUCCUCUCUUGCCUGAACGAUGUAGGAUUGUAACAAUUUUGACAAAUGAUAGGUAAUUAGCUCAAUUGGUGUUAUUUGUGAAAAUUAAAAAGUAAUGUACUGGCGUUUCAAGACCUACAUUUAUAACUAUAAUAAUGUUGUAAAAGAUAAGAGAGAUAACAAAAAAAAAAACGAAAAAUUUACGGAUGAUCUUAACAGUAGUUCCUUGUGGUUUAUAAAAAUUGAAAAAUAAUUUAAAACGUUGUACGGCCGCCGUGCAACAUAGUUCUUGUGAUGUAAAUUACUGUAAAUAUUAAAUAGAAAGAGUAUAUUUAAGGUUUAAUAGUUUAGGCAUUUUUUUUAAUCUACAUUGUAAGUAACGAUAAUAUGAUUAUUCGGUUGACAAACUGGCAAUGUGUUGCCAUUCAAAGUAUUCGUUCGGAAACCCAAAAUAUUUUGACAUUUUGUUUUUGUUAUACAUAGAUUUUUUUUUUUAUUUAACACGAAAGUGAUGUGAUUAUAGCUAGGGUUUAAAUUUAAAUUUUAUGGAAUUUUAGAAACGUUUUGAACGAAUUGUAUAAUCACAUUACAAAUAGAUGAAUAGAAUAAGCUUAUUUUCAAAUAAAACCAUGAAAAAAACUA
Colias croceus (clouded yellow) is the source of this 3000-nucleotide RNA transcript. It is a transcript of the gene named ATP-dependent Clp protease ATP-binding subunit clpX-like, mitochondrial, with no coding region annotated. The transcript is spliced from 13 exons. NCBI's taxonomy places the organism in Eukaryota, Metazoa, Arthropoda, Insecta, Lepidoptera, Pieridae. The record is from RefSeq and is a predicted model, not a curated record.